GCGAGGGUACCCUCGCCUUCUCUUUGUUGGGCUUCGGGGGUUGGGCGCCAUUUUGCGCGGCGGCUGAGUGGAGGCGCUGAUUGGGUUUCGGGGACCGGUGGCGGAGCCAAUCAGAGCGGGACCCGAACCGGGGGAGCAAGGCACGAUUUCUGAUUGAAGAUUGGAUAAAAAAUUGAUAUAGAAAACUAUGGAGCAGUACACCACAAACAGCAGUAGCUCAACAGAACAGAUAGUUGUGCAGGCUGGACAAAUACAGCAACAGCAGCAGGGUGGUGUGACUGCUGUCCAGUUGCAGACUGAGGCUCAGGUGGCAUCUGCCUCAGGCCAGCAAGUUCAGACCCUCCAGGUAGUCCAGGGUCAGCCACUGAUGGUACAAGUGAGUGGAGGCCAACUAAUCACAUCAACUGGUCAACCAAUUAUGGUACAGGCUGUACCUGGAAGCCAGGGUCAAACUAUUAUGCAAGUUCCAGUUUCAGGAUCACAAGGACUUCAGCAGAUUCAGUUGGUCCAGCCUAGUCAGAUUCAGAUUCAAGGUGGACAAGCGGUACAAGUUCAGGGCCAGCAGGGCCAGACACAGCAAAUCAUCAUCCAGCAGCCACAGACAGCAGUAACAGCUGGCCAAACACAGACGCAGCCACAGAUUGCAGUCCAAGGACAACAGGUAGCGCAGACAGCAGAAGGUCAGACAAUUGUCUAUCAACCAGUUAAUGCUGAUGGAACAAUUCUUCAACAAGUUACAGUCCCUGUUACAGGCAUGAUCACCAUCCCAGCAGCCAGUUUGGCUGGAGCACAGAUUGUUCAGACUGGAGCCAACACCAAUACAACUAGCAGUGGACAAGGGACAGUAACAGUGACUCUGCCUGUUGCUGGAAAUGUGGUUAACUCUGGUGGAAUGGUCAUGAUGGUGCCAGGUGCUGGCUCAGUGCCAGCUAUCCAAAGAAUACCUUUGCCUGGGGCUGAGAUGUUGGAGGAAGAGCCUCUGUAUGUAAAUGCAAAACAGUAUCACCGGAUUUUGAAGAGAAGGCAAGCAAGAGCCAAGUUAGAAGCUGAAGGAAAAAUACCUAAAGAGAGGAGGAAAUAUCUCCAUGAAUCCCGACAUCGGCAUGCGAUGGCAAGGAAACGAGGAGAAGGAGGACGUUUCUUUUCUCCAAAAGAAAAAGAUAGUCCCCAUAUGCAGCUUAGUUACUAAAAAACUAUGGAACACUUAAGUAAUACAUCUCAGAAAAUAGUCAUCUCCAGGUGAGGGAUUCUGGCCAGGCAAGUGAAGAAGCUAUGACACAGAUGAUUAGAGUAUCCUAACAACCAACUAAAUAACAAAACAUCUGGACAAACAUCUUGUGUCUCUGCAAUUGUUCCUUCUCCUUUCUAUCAAAUCAACUUCCGAAGGGGAAAAUUUGCUACAACCUUGUUCUUUAUCAGAACAAAUAAUACACUCGCAGUGAGUCAUUUGUUUUAGCUUUUAAAUGCAGUGGAUUCAAUCAGCUGAGGUACUAAUGGAGUGUCCAUUCACCCUUCUCAGACCAAGGAUUGAAAAUCUGGCUCAAGAGACCUUUAACAUUCUUGGCAGGACAAUGGCCCAUCUUGAUAGCAAUAGCAAUAACUGACUUGUUAUAGGACAGCUAUACCGUUUGAAAACUAUGGGGUUUGAACCACAUAGAAAUACUAAUGUUGGAAACAGCCAGAGCUGACAUGUUUUGUUUUCUCAGUGUGAUUUUUUUAGUCUCACAGAUGCCGCUUUUUAUUAGGAUUGUUACUACUUUCUAGCAGCAUAACUUUCUAUUGUUGAAGCAUAAUCUCUCAUAAAAUCUUGACAAGAUGCCAAAAGUUGUCCUUGAAAUACUGUCCAUCAUAUAUCUAUCUGGGACAAAAUUAAUCUCAUCUCAGGGAAUGGGCAUUGAGGGAGGGGUAUCUGAUUUUAUGGCUAGUAAAGUGUUUUGUAGCAGAAUUGUGGUUUUGACAGUUAAGUUCAUUAACUUGUUCCCCUAGAACCUGGCCAUGCAGGUUGUGAAUGUCUCCAGUUAUGUAAACUAAUCCUUUGCCUGGACCCAUUGAUUUUCUGUGAUCAAAGGAUAAGAUGCAAUACUGAACUGUGAACAUCAGACAGUAUGUAAGGACUGUAUCAUUCAUGUAACCAAAUCAAAAUUCUAUAUAUCCUGUCAAAAUUCAGACUGCUUUGGAUAUGAAAAUAUAAACUCUCCUUUCAAAUUUUACAUAUAAUGUACUUUAUAAAUCUAACUUCAAAAUCUAUUAUUUCCUCUUGUGAAGAGCUUUUUCUUCCCUUUGGUCCUGAAUGACCAAGUUUUAUGUUUUAUUCUUACACAAAACUGCAAAACCAUGAUGUUUUUUUGCAAUCUCACUUGAUCAUUCAGAUUUUGACAUCAAAUCUGACAUUCCUUCCUGCACAUACCGCUUUGUUUCAUUUGUAUAUCUUCCAUUACUUAAUUCUGGUAAACGUCGAGAGGUCUGCUUUUCAGCCCUUCAGUUGCUCAGCAAAUCUGAGAAUGGAGGAAUACUGGAGUUGGUCUGUUAUGAAAAACAGCAGUGGGCUUGACACACAAGUGCUACGUACAAAAAGUGGUCUGGUAAUUGACCAAUACAUUUUUAAAGGGGGUCUUGUGAUUUUGGAAGAAGUGGUUCUUUACUGGAAAAAGUAAACAUUGGUCCUCACUUAAAUUUUGUUGUAGCUUGGAAAAGUCUGCCUUCACAAAAUUCCUUUUUUACUUGAAAUAGAAGCAAGUUCAAAAGGGAUGAAGAGUGUGUGUAAAUGCAAAUUAUUGUUAUUAAAAAUAACAAUGAUAUUUAACAGGCUGGUAAACCUUUGGAAUUAGUUUUGACAAAUUUCAACUUGAAGUUGGGUGUGGACUGAAUUUUAAGGGGUUGCUGGUCACAUGCAGUUCAGUGCUCUAACUUAAACUCUUGGCAGCAAAUGGAUUUCUUUCAUUUGGUAUCUGUAAAGUCCUGUUUAAGUCUGUAUUAUAGCUUGUGUAUUUAUAAAUGUGUUUCUUCAGUCUUUCUGAUCUUUAUAUUUUCAGUAUACUGAGCAUUUGAUUAUUGUCUUGUUUCUCAGCCGGCUGCUUCAGCAUGUAGCAUUUCUCUUCACUGUUUUAAAUAACAAAUAUCUGAUUGGUAUUUAAGUGAUGGUAUUAGUGAAGGAACAAUGAAUGCUUUGUGGGUGGGGAAUGGAUUUUCGUUUCUACUAUUGUUGUAUAUUGGCCUUCCUACAUCUUUUAUCUUCCAGAUGUGUUUAGGUCCAUCGCUCCUAUAAUUCCCAUUGACAAUUCCCAAAGGCUAUGCUUUCUGGGAAUUCUUGGGAUUGAUCCCAAAAUAUCUAUAGAACAUCAGGUUUGGGAGGUUAUUGUAAAUAUUAAAAGCACUGAUGCAUUUUGAAAUAAUGCUGAAUGAGGGGAAGAUACUGUAUUGUUUGGGUUAGGGAUUUUUCUUCCCAUAAAUUCCUCUUUUCAGAUGUCAUUUUAAUACUGCAUAUUGGGAUAUUAAGAGAAUCAAGGUUCUCCUAAUUCUAAUGUAUAUUUAAAACGUAACAAUACAUUUGCAACUUAAAAUUAUCUAGCCAUUGCAAUCUUUACAUUUAUUAAAAAUAGAAAUAAAAAUGGUCUUUGUGAUUUCUGUAUGUAGAUGAAGCAGAAACCUAUUUAAUUUUAGUCUAGAAAAUUUUUAUAGUUAGUUUUUUUCUGUAAUGGUGUAAAUUACCUGAUAGAAUCUAUUAUUCCAAUGGCUUAGAUUUCAUGUGUGUAAGACAAAUAUAUUUCAAACUAUUUUUUAAUCUUGGGAAUCUCAAACUACAAUAUGAUGCAAAAUGUUUUGUUCUUAAGCAAAAAUUAAAAGUAAAGUAAUACCAAAUGCAAACUCUUAAUUAGAAAUGAAAAGAGAGAACAUGACAUGCUUAAUUGGAAAUAGACUUAAGGAUAAAGAUGUAAUGUAAAGAUGUUGGGUUUAAGGAAGGUGUGCAUUGUUCUUUUGAAUUAGAAAGCACUGGAAUGUUGAGCCUAUAUAAAGUGGUUUAAUACUUAGGGAGGGAAUAGGUAAUCCCCAAGUGAUGCUUUUUCCAAAAUUUUGCAUGUAAAAAUAUUUUUUAUUUUUCUUUUCUUUUGGGUUAUGAAUGGAGCUGGGGCAUUGAUAUUUGUGAAAUUGUAAUGCAAAGUUUGUAUAUAGUUCAAAAGUUUAUAAUUUUUUAUUCUGCAUUUUGAAGUGUAUUUUGUCUUUAAUAGAUACAACUGUAAGUACUGUGUACACUAUUAAACCAAUAAAAUGUUUAUAAAAUA
Molecule: RNA transcript, 4280 nt
Organism: Ahaetulla prasina
Lineage: Eukaryota; Metazoa; Chordata; Lepidosauria; Squamata; Colubridae
Gene: NFYA
Gene name: nuclear transcription factor Y subunit alpha
Exons: 11
Source: RefSeq, a predicted model, not a curated record